Brienomyrus brachyistius is the source of this 6831-nucleotide long non-coding RNA. RefSeq lists it as uncharacterized. The transcript has 3 exons. The record is from RefSeq and is a predicted model, not a curated record. NCBI's taxonomy places the organism in Eukaryota, Metazoa, Chordata, Actinopteri, Osteoglossiformes, Mormyridae.
CAAAGAGCACAUGGUCAUGGCUGUUAUCGCUCCCUGAUUUAAGUUGAUUUGAAGGCACAUUCGUUUUACGUCAUUCCAUAAGCAACAGUAAAGGAUAAACAUUACCGUCUGAGUCUGUUGUCUUUUGGGAAACGUUAUCUGACUGCCGAGUCAAGCAAGGCGUUUGACGCAGAGGGCAGAACAGACGAACUACAACUUUUUCCAUGAUCUUUGAAAUGAAAGGAAGAUUUGAGAUAGGUCUAUAGUUUCCUAAAACACUGGGUUCACGAUUUGGUUUCUUUAGGACGGGUCUGAUAACAGCCAUUUUAAAAGGUUUUAGAACAUAUCCAAGCCUAAGAGAAGAAUUUAACACAUUUAACAUGGUAGUGUCAAUCUGUGGUGCAAUUUCCUUGAAGAAUUUUGUAGGAAUUGGGUCUACAAGGCUAGUAGAGGAUUUACAGGAGAAAAUUAAGCUCAAAAGUUCUGAGUGUGUAAUAGGAAUGCAUGAUUCAAAGGUCUCAUUAUUGGUAGACAUAAGACUAGCAGGAGGCAGGCAGCCGUAAGUAGGUAAAGGUGUGCACUGGAUAGUCUGUCUAAUUGUAGUUAUCUUACCAUUAAAAAAUGUAAGAAAGUCAUCACUCUUAAGAGCUUGCGGGAUUUUCAAGUUUAAUGCGGAAUUCUGUGUUAUCCUAGCCACGGAUUCAAAUAGGAAUUUAGGAUUGGUUUUGUUCAUGUCUAUUAAUCUGGAGAGAUACACAGACCAAGCAGUCACUAGUGCUUGUCUGUAUUUAGAGAGGCUCUCUUUCCAGGCAGAUUUGAAAACUUCCAGUUUAGUUGAGCGCCAUUUUCGCUCUAGCUUGCGUGAUGCCUGUUUGAGAUCACGUGUAUUAUCAGAGUGCCAGGAGGCAGUUUUGUUAUCUCUAUGCUUUAUCCUCUUAAGUGGAGCCACAAGAUCUAGAGUACUGCGAAGGGAUUUUUCCAUGUUUGAAGUUACCUGUUCAAGUUCAUUUACACACGAUGCUUCAGAUGUAAGGCUAAAGGACUGUGGAAGUUGUUUCAUAAAUGUUGUUGUAGUUAGUGCCUUAAUAGGACGUCUGAUUUUAUACUUUGGAGUGAUGGUCAACAGGAGGUUAUACUGGAUUUCAAAUGUUAACAAGUAAUGAUCUGAGAGCAGAGGACUCUGUGGCAUAAUAGACACAUGUUCUACCACGAUGCCAUGACUAAUGAUCAAAUCAAGGGUAUGGUUACAGACAUGAGUAGGCCCGACUACAUUCUGACAUACACCUACAGAGUCAAGAAUAGCUGCAAACGCUAUUUUUAAAGGAUCAUUAUCCUUCUCCAUACGAAUGUUAAAAUCACCCACAAUAACGGCUUUGUCAGUACUGACCACCAGGUUUGUUAAAAAAUCAGCAAAUUCCUUAAGAAAAUCACUGUACGGCCCAGGCGGUCUAUACACAAUAACAAUGAUGAUUUGGGGUGACGAACUAGUAAGAGAUGAGCCAGCAAGGCUAAGAACAAGAGUUUCAAAUGUGCUGAAACUCACACCACAUUUCUCAGACACUCCUAAGUUGGACUGAAAAAUUGCAGCAACACUUUGCGAUUUGGUCGAGGGUUAUCCUUAUAACUGUAUUCCGCUGGAGUAGAUUCAUUUAGUGCCAUGAAUUCAUCCGGUUUAAGCCAGGUCUCAGUAAGGCACAGGGCACCAAGACUAAAAUCAGUAAUUAUUUCAUUUAUUAAUAGUGCUUUAGGAGCCAGUGAUCUUCCUGUAGACUACGGGCUAUGCUUUUAGACAGGAGGUCGGCACCAGCCCGCGAGGGGUGAAUACCGUCCCUCUUCAAAAGCCCAGGCCUACCCCAGAACAUCCGCCAGUUGUCUAUAUAACCUACACCAUUUAUCGGGCACCAUUCCGACAGCCAGCGAUGUAGCGACGAUAAUAUGCUGUACAUUUCAUCGCCAUGUCUAGCAGGGAUGGGGCCAGAGCACGUUACUGACACACACAUCUUCUUUGCAAUGUUGCACACCUUUUGAAAAUUUGCCUUAGUGAUCUCCGAUUGCCUCAAUCGGACAUCAUUAGUGCCGACGUGGAUAACUAUCUGAGAGUAUUUACGUUUACUUUUAGCCAGCACUUUUAAAUUUGCCGAGAUGUUGGUUGCUCUGGCACCAGGGAGACAACUUACAAUGGUUGCUGGAGUCGCUACUCUCACGUUUCUUAGAAUAGAGUCACCAAUUACUAGAGCACUUUCAACAGGUGUCUCAGUGGGAGUUUCACUGAGUGGGGAGAACCUGUUGGAAACGCAGAUAAGCGAAUGGUGCCGGUGUAAGUUUGGUUUGGAUUUACGACUAUGCCACCGGGUCGUCACCCACUCGCCUUGCUGCGAAGGCUCUGCUGCCGGAGCAGGGGGAGACUUACUGGCUAUCGCGGACAUAUCCGGAGCCGCUAAUACUGAGUCAAUAAAACUCUCAUUCUCCUGAAUGUUAUGUAACGUCCGGAUACGUCCCUCUAACACUACAAUCUUCUCCGUCAGCGUAACGACUAACUGACACUUCUCACAUGUAUAAAUACCGCUAAUGACUGGAGAAGAAUAGCUAAACAUAUUGCACUCAGAACACGGAACAGGAGACAUGGCGUUGUACUUACGGUAAACUGAGGCUCUAAGGCUGGAAGCACCUUCUUAAUUGAACGAUCGUGGGUCGGUACUUGCGUAGGUGAUUAAUUCGUCGGAGUCUGGGAAAUUAAUUUUUUUGGAGGAUUAUUAAUCUUGCGAAGCUUUUUCCAAUGACUUAACUCGAAUUAUUAUUUAGGUGAUAUCUAUAGUUUCAAAGUUCGCGCGCUAGCAGUCAGUAUCCCUCUCGGAGGAAACAGCGGAAAUUACGUCAGGAAUGUGUUAAAAUGUUUUCUAUUGUCAUGUCAUCCUGUUUUGACUAGCAUCAAAACAGGCAAUGUACAAAAAAAGCUACAAGCAUGUUAGCAUUUUAGCAUGAAAACCGGAAGUGGGCGUAUCUCCGCCUAGGAAUGUCGUAGAGACUUUAGAAAAAGUUCCUCAGAUCAGGCUGAAACGUUAGAUCUAGGUGUAUUGUUCCUCCUAGAUUCAGAAUCUGCAGUUUUCAAAACUUAGCAUGUUAGCAUUUUAGCAUCAAAACCGGAAGUGGGCGUAUCUCCGAUAUUCCUAGGCGGAGAUACGCCCACUUCCAGUUUUGAUGCUAACAUGCUGUCGUAGGAAUGUCGUAGAGACUUGAGGAAAAAGGUCCUCAGAUCCGUCUUGAUGAGUAGAGUCAAGAGAUGAAACUAGCAUCAAAACACGCUAUGCACAAAAAAUAUUUCAGAAACAGAGCAAAAUAGAGAUUUCCUCUGUAUCCGUGUAUGCGUAGCGCAUCGGUCACGUCCCCGGCAUGUUUCUCAUUUGGAGUGUGGAUAUGACUGAAUGUCUGUCUGAAUGUCAAAAUAGAGAAAGCGAUGUCUCUCAUUUGGAGUGUGGAUAUGACUGAAUGCUUCUUAGUCUGAAUGUUGGCACUGACUAUGAGUGUUGCUCUAUCAGAACAAUGAUCUUUGCGCAUCUGAUCAUCUGAUAACUCCCCAGUGUAUCAUUGUUAAACCCCUUGCAGAUCAAUCAGGAGGGAACUUGUGACUUUAGUCCUCUCUGCCAUUCAGAGAUGACAGCAUUUCUGACUACACUGUGUAUACCAGCUGUAUGAUAGCAUUUCUGACUACAUUUCAAUACUGUGUAUACCAGCUGUUAUACUGGAUGCUAGGGAUGUAACGAUACACUCAACUCACGAUUCGAUACAAUUCAUGAUUCUGAGUUAACAGAUUUUUUUUAGCAAGAUGAGCUGUAGGCAAAUUUACUCAAAAAUAUUCCUUUAUCUUUCUAAACUGUGCAAAAUGUGUCCUCUUCUUAACAGUGCAACUGAAAUUGAAUAAAAUUCUGUUUUAAAAAAUAAAAAAAAAUCCCAAAUUAAAAAAAAAAAAAAAAUCUUCAAAUAAAUGCAUAACACUUUACAUUAACUACACCUUCAUAAUGCUUUUGUAUUGCAUUCAUAAAACGUUCGGUACACCUUUAUUCAUUAAUAUGUGCUAUUUGUGUAUGUUAGUCUUUUACAAUGUUUACACGCAGUUUUUUCCUUGUCUGUGCUUUUCUCGCUGUUUUUGUUUGUGAUUACCAGAAAGCUAAAAUGCUGCCACACUGCCGGGGGGUGUGUCCUCCUCCGUUAGGGCAAAAUCAAAAACUAAUGUACGACGUCAAUGUGAAUACGCAGUGACAUCUGACAUCGAAUUGACAUUGUGAAAUCAAAUGUAAUAUUACACCAGUUUUUCUGUUAAAUAAAGUACCGUGAAGUUCUCCUGAAGUAGCGAUUCAUUUUCCACAUCAGCCAGUUUAAAUCGUCGUGCAUUUACAUCAAUUUUUAACCAAUUCGCGAUUCAUCGUUACAUGCCUACUGGAUGCCAUACAGGAAAUGUGAUUUUAUAGCAUGUGGCAUGAUACAGACAUAGGGCCUGUAAAAUACAUUUAAUGGCUAAGACAGACAGAGCUUUCUCCUACAGAGAUCCUCAGCUGUGGAAUGGUCUCCCACCAGAUGUGUGGGUUUCAGGCUCACUCUCAAUAUUCAAGUCUACACUAAAAACACACCUGUUUAGUUUAGCAUAUAGGGACACUAGUUCUAGCUCUAGCUAACUCUUCACUCCCAGUCAGACCUGUAGUGUGAGGUGUAGAGCUGGGUGGGGAUCGGUGCCAUUGGCUUUGGAUUAACUGGACUGUCAGUCUGUCACUCUAGCUUCGCAAUCCCUUGUGGAGCUGGAGUGCUGACAUUUCAGGGACUCCCCAUGCCUGCAUUCCCACUUGCCUCUCCCUCCUACUGAUGCUGCCAUAGCCAUAUCUGCCGGAGCUUGUACAUUGGACUUCAUAUUGCACUCAUCUAGCUUUUAGCACUGCCGAUAGCCUCCUCUACUUUGACUAAUUGUACAUUUUAUUUCCCAUAUUCCUCCUGGGGGGUGAUGCCUGGAGACCUCAAUCUAUCAAGAUGUCCAGCAUACCCUACUACAUGUGAUGUCACCACCACCAGUGACGUCCCUGCAUCCAGGUAAUGUGGCUGUAUCUGGUCCCCAGCAAUAAAGAUCCUGGGAGCCGGAACCAGAGGUAAGGCAGUGGGUUAUACACCGAAAGUUAACGUUUUAUAUAUUUUAGUUUCAGUUUAUGUUUUUGUCAUUUUAUUUCAAGGGCUAGAUGGAGAGUUAUAGAUUUUGCUAGCUACUGCUAAGUGUUGUGCCAUUGGCUAAUUUUAUGGUGAUUAUAUGCUAAUUAUACUAAUGCUGCUACUGCUAAUGCCUAUUUCUGCUGCUGCUGCUCCCUUUGUUUCUUUUUCUCUGCAUUCUGUAGCUCUCGCCCCUCAGUACAAUAUUAUCCUCUGUCUCCUGUGGCUGCUUUCAAUUACAGUGGAAAGUGAGCCAGAGGAUGCCCCACUAGAGGACCUGGAGUUGAAUGCUACGGCCAUCACUUUGGCCCCUGUUCCUGUUCCUUGCUCAUAAUUACCCAGCUGCAGGUUCCAGCUUCAGCCUCACAUUUCCUGGACCUGGGGUAGCCACUGACAUCAUGAACGGUGUUGAAGAAGGUCAGGUAGACUCUCCAUAUCCUGGAAGGGAUGCCGAAGGCACACACUGUGUUUGUGCCACCCAGAUCCCUUCCGGGCCAACUCAGUGACCCCUGUCGGUUCACCUGAGGACCACAAGGCGUCAGUGUUGCCAGCUCCUGCUGCCCCAAAUCCAUCCACAGCAAUAGUCUCACAGCUCGACCCAGGUCCAACCAGACCUUCCUUGUGGGCCUGACCCGCAGCAGCUAACGCUCUCCAGUUCUUGUCCCAAUGCCUGUAGGGCCCGCGGCUUCAUAUGUUCCCGAGUUUCUGUUCCACUUUCCCUCCAGAUCUCAGGCUUUCCCCUUCUUCAGUCCUGGUCCCCGUGUUUUUCCCCUCAGUGGCAUUCCCUUGGCCCGCCCUCCCUGGUGACCUGUCAGUGAUCCAUAAUGCCCUAGUCCCAAAGUCCUGUUCCCAAUGGUGUUCCCCAUUUGAGUGUCCCCUUAGGUUCAAUGCUCUGUUGUCAUCUUCCCUGGUCAUUGGGUUACAUUGAUAUAUGAUCUUGUGUGGUUCCUGGUCCCCAGUCCCAUUAGCUUUUUGUAACUGUCAUGAUGCCCAGCACCAGCUCUGCCCAUUCCACCUGCUUGUCCUAGUCCUCUUGUUGUUUCACAGCAUAGUCCAGUCCAUCCAUCCAUCCAUUUUCCAAACCACUUAUCCUACUGGGUCGCAGGGGGCCCAGAGCCUAUCCCAGAAGCAAUGGGCACGAGGCAGGGAACAACCCAGGAUGGGGGGCCAGCCCAUCGCAGGGCACACUCACACACAAUUCACUCAGACAAGCACUAUUACGGGCAAUUUAGCAAAUCCAAUUAGCCUCAGCAUGUCUUUGGACUGUGGGGGGAAACCGGAGUACCCAGAGGAAACCCCAUGACGACAUGGGGAGAACAUGCAAACUCCGCACAUAUGUGACCUAGGUGGAGACUCGAACCCGGGUCCCAGAGGUGUGAGGCAACAGUGCUAACCACUGCACCACCAUGCCACCCCUCCCCUGUAUAUGUUGUAUAUUAUGCCUAUUUACUGUAUUUCCUCCCUGUACAAUGACAAUAAAGGCUUUCUGUUCUGUCCUAUUAAUGUCCUGCUUCAGCGUCAACCAAAACAUGACUGAGUAACAAGGUCUGGUUACACCCCCGUCAGGCAAAAGCAGCUGGUGCCCAAGUACAUGGCGCCUUAAGGUGAUACAACAGACUGUUGCAAAGUAGAAACUAUUCUACAGAGUUCAGCUUGCUUUAGGUU